AAGGAUCAUUAUUGAAAUUAUAGGUGAGGGUUGUAGCUGGCCUCUCGGGGGCAUGUGCACGCCCGAGCCCUUAAUCCACACACACCUGUGAACCUAUUGUAAGGGCCCUUAAAAAAGGCCUUUACGUCUUAUCAUCAACCCAUCGUAUGUCUCAUAGAAUGUAAAUAUAUGUCCUCGCCUUAAAAAGCGUUGAUAAACUUAUACAACUUUCAACAACGGAUCUCUUGGCUCUCGCAUCGAUGAAGAACGCAGCGAAAUGCGAUAAGUAAUGUGAAUUGCAGAUUUUCAGUGAAUCAUCGAAUCUUUGAACGCACCUUGCGCUCCUUGGUAUUCCGAGGAGCAUGCCUGUUUGAGUGUCAUUAAAUUCUCAACUCUGAUCGAUUUGUUUCGACUUCGGAGCUUGGAUUUGGAGCGUGCUGGCGUCGGUCGGCUCCUCUUAAAUGCAUCAGCGGAAUCUAACGUUUCGGACGUCAGUGUGAUAAUCAUGUUGCGCUGUCUGUCUGAUCUGAAAGCCCGCUCACAAUGGUCUUCGGACAACUUCAUAUCAAAUUUGACCUCAAAUCAGGUAGGACUACCCGCUGAACUUAA
This 588-nucleotide ribosomal RNA is filed under the name uncultured fungus. RNAcentral describes it as "eukaryotic LSU rRNA". The stretch from base 205 to 359 matches the Rfam family "5.8S ribosomal RNA". Lineage: Eukaryota; Fungi. The record is from RNAcentral.